GACGUUGGUGACUGCCAAUAAAGUUUGUUGAUCUAUGUCGGUUUAUAUAAGGGAAUCAAGCGUUCUCGUGUCAGUAAACCGGGCGUGUACCCGGAAACUUAAAAUGAGAGCCUACGAUGCCCACCUGGUUUUCCAGGUCAUAAACUGAGGUAAGACGGCGUU
This 162-nucleotide non-coding RNA is filed under the name Cyanobacteria bacterium UBA12227. RNAcentral describes it as "6S RNA". It matches the Rfam family "6S / SsrS RNA", at positions 11 to 176 of the family's 187-position model. Rfam says of the family: E. coli 6S RNA was the first non coding RNA to be sequenced, but its function was unknown until recently. It consists of 184 nucleotides that fold into an extended hairpin structure with a large single-stranded internal bulge. Lineage: Bacteria; Bacillati; Cyanobacteriota. The record is from RNAcentral.